UACGUAGGGGUCUAGCGUUGUCCGGAAUUAUUGGGCGUAAAGGGCGCGUAGGCGGCCAUGCGUGUCUUCCGUGAAAUCCCUCGGCUUAACCGAGGACGUGCGGAAGAAACUGCAAGGCUCGAGUCCGGAAGAGGGGGGCGGAAUUCCCAGUGUAGCGGUGAAAUGCGUAGAUAUUGGGAGGAACACCAGUGGCGAAGGCGGUCCCCUGGGUCGGAACUGACGCUGAGGCGCGAAAGCGUGGGUAGCAAACGGG
Molecule: ribosomal RNA, 253 nt
Filed under: uncultured bacterium
Lineage: Bacteria
Description: partial 16S ribosomal RNA
Rfam family: Bacterial small subunit ribosomal RNA
Source: RNAcentral